GACGAACGCUGGCGGCGUGCUUAACACAUGCAAGUCGAACGAAGAGCGAUGGAAGCUUGCUUCUAUCAAUCUUAGUGGCGAACGGGUGAGUAACGCGUAAUCAACCUGCCCUUCAGAGGGGGACAACAGUUGGAAACGACUGCUAAUACCGCAUACGAUCUAAUCUCGGCAUCGAGGAUAGAUGAAAGGUGGCCUCUACAUGUAAGCUAUCACUGAAGGAGGGGAUUGCGUCUGAUUAGCUAGUUGGAGGGGUAACGGCCCACCAAGGCGAUGAUCAGUAGCCGGUCUGAGAGGAUGAACGGCCACAUUGGGACUGAGACACGGCCCAGACUCCUACGGGAGGCAGCAGUGGGGAA
Molecule: ribosomal RNA, 356 nt
Filed under: Veillonella parvula
Lineage: Bacteria; Bacillati; Bacillota; Negativicutes; Veillonellales; Veillonellaceae
Description: bacterial SSU rRNA
Rfam family: Bacterial small subunit ribosomal RNA
Source: RNAcentral